Molecule: ribosomal RNA, 301 nt
Filed under: uncultured bacterium
Lineage: Bacteria
Description: partial 16S ribosomal RNA
Rfam family: Bacterial small subunit ribosomal RNA
Source: RNAcentral
CAGCAGCCGCGGGAAAACGGAGGGGGCUAACGUUGUUCGGAAUUACUGGGCGUAAAGCGUACGUAGGCGGCUUUGUAAGUUAGAGGUGAAAGCCCGGGGCUCAACCCCGGAAUUGCCUUUAAGACUGCAUCGCUUGAAUCGCGGAGAGGUGAGUGGAAUUCCGAGUGUAGAGGUGAAAUUCGUAGAUAUUCGGAAGAACACCAGUGGCGAAGGCGGCUCACUGGACGCGUAUUGACGCUGAGGUACGAAAGCGUGGGGAGCAAACAGGAUUAGAUACCCCAGUAGUCCCUGUCUCUUAUAC